RNAcentral lists this transfer RNA (73 nucleotides) under Trichonephila clavata. It matches the Rfam family "tRNA". Rfam says of the family: Transfer RNA (tRNA) molecules are approximately 80 nucleotides in length. The record is from Rfam by way of RNAcentral. Lineage: Eukaryota; Metazoa; Arthropoda; Arachnida; Araneae; Nephilidae.
AUCCAUGUAGCGCAAUGGAUAGGGUGUUGGAUUUCUAAUCCAAAGGUCGUGGGUUCGAAUCCCACCUGGGAUG